CACCCCGCCGAGCCCGGCGGCGCUGCGGGGAAAGCACCGCCCUGUACGGGGCCGAGUCGUGGGCUGACGCUGGGGCUGAGCUGGGUUUAACGUGAGACAGGGCCUGAGGCGGGAGCGCCCGGGUGUUGCGGCGGCCGCAGGCCUUGGCUGGUGCCGUGUUCCCGCGGGGGAAUCGCCAACCGCUCCCUCGGCGUUAAAGGGCAAACAGCCAUUUUGUCUGCUGGACAGGGAUGUCGUAGGGAAGCGGUCGGGCUGAUUUUUUGGCAUUGUUUCGUAGCAGGAGAAUGCUAAGUGAAAUUAGCUGUACAAAAUUCGUGUUUUAAAGCUAUUGAGCAAGAAACAAAAUUAACAUCAACAGCAGGUGGCAGUGCUAGCAAGAGCAGUGGUUCUGAUAUGAGUUGUUGGCUCGUGGUUUGUGUAGUUUCAGCUCUUCCGCAAAAGCAGUACAGAGUGCCAGGAUCCUGUGUGCAGAGAGGACAAGACCAGCUCCCACUGAUAACUGACCCCUGGAAUACCCCUUAGGCGUUGUUGUGAGGUUCAGGUAGAAGCCUGCUGUAUGUUGGUGAAGUUCACCCACUGUGCUUCUUAGAAGAGAAAAUUAGUGAAAUUGGUAAAAAAAUCAAAGAAGAAAAACCUGUAAAGUUCCCAUGCUGUGACUGUGACACUCAUUCUUUACACCUCACCUCCUAAUUCUCUGACACAGAGAUUGACUGGAACACAUUCCCAGCACAGCUCUACAAUAUGUCUCUGGCUUUCAACUCUCUCUGAAGAGAAUGGUACCAGGUUACUGCACUGGCAGCCAGGUCUGUAUGUCUUAGAGAGAAAUCCAGGCUCAGAGAAGGUUGACUGAAGGUAUGUUUCCAAGGCACCAGGAUGGCAGGAUGGUUGUAUCCAUCAGUUGCCCUGUCUAACCUGAAGGCAUACCCAUCAUAUAAGUACACAUAUAUACACAUAUGUCUUGUGGUUGUGAAAAACCACAUGCCUUUCCUGCAGCUUUGCAGAUUGCAUUCUUGUACAUCAGUAUUCAGGUAAGUUGGAAAGCUUUCGCAAGCAGGAAGUGGAACUCAAAAAGAGAGUAAGUCAAUCUCUUGAAUGGCUUUAAAGCAUACUUUGUUUUUUAGGAGUUUUUUAUUCUUUGGAACAAAAAGUGUGCUGAAUUGUUGUCAGGCAUAAAUGGGUAUAAUUUGUGAGUACAAAGAAAUGCAAGCAAGUUUGUUGACUCAUUGCCGUAGUGAGACAAAUAAUAAUUUUAAUUAGAUUGUAAUGAAAAUUGUUGUGUCAUGUUCCUCCCCCCCUCCCCUAGUGAAUUCAUUAUCUGAUUAGUCAAAAGGGAUAAAUAAUUCCUUUACAUUUGCAUUCCUUUUUGUCAAGCAGUAUGGAUUUUUCCUUCAUAUAUACAAAGAAGUGAAACUGGCUAAUAAUAAAAUCAUUGAGUAUCCUUAACUAUAAAAAAACCCUUUUAAAUCCAGAACUAGAGGAGGGUUCUGCACACAAAGCAAUCUGCACACAAAACAAUUCUGAAUUUCCUAUUGGAGUAACAGAAAUGAGGUGGUCCAAACACAUCUCAUUGGUUCCUUCCCAUUUCUGAUGGCCUUGAAGCAGGCUUAUGCUCUUUGAUACUGGUUCUCCUAUGCUUAUUUUUGUCUAUAGAGGCCUUUUUCUAUCCAGGAGAAGGAAGUGGUGUGUAUUUGCUUCUAUAUACACACACCCAUUCCAUCUUGCAGGGUGGGUGAUGUGGCAGUAUCCCAUGAGAGCAAAGGCGGGAUUCAGAAGAUCUGUACAAGAACGUUUUUUAUACAUUCUAGAAUGCAUUUGACCUGAUACUUUAUAUUUAAGUAUUUAAUCUACAGAGAAUUUUAUGUCUGUAAGCUUUGUCUCCUCCCUUUCUGAAGAGAGGUCUAGAAGAAAAACUGGAAAUUGAAAAGGAAAUCGGUUGCCCCAUUCUCACUGGUCCUUUCAUAAGCCCUAUGUACGCUUUUUUAUUAUUUUUUAUUAUUAUGUAUUGGCCAAGUGUUUAAGCACAUCUUUAGUCCAAGCCAAUUUGGCGGGUGUUGAUACAAGGCCACCCCAAAGCAAGUAAUCUCUAAUUUGUAGUAAAGCUGGGUUGUGACUGAUGGUUUUAAAUACAGUGAAGAUCUUGGAGGAGGCAAAACACUUGACUUGAUGUUCAGCUUGAGAAGACUUGCUUAUGGCUUGAACUAAGGUCAAGAAGAAGCAGCAGAUGUUGGAGGGGCUAUUACCAUUAUAAUAGAAUCAUUCAGGCAAUCCUAUUUAAUUUGAUUUAUUUUGUUUUCUGUUAUACUCUCAGAUACCUUUCAGACGUAUGAUUCUUUUUGUUUGGAGUCUAAUCCGUACUUCAUUAAAUCUAAUCCACUUAUAUUUGAAUAGUACUGGACAUUUUCUGCAUUAAUAUAUGUCAUUGGGAUGUAAGAAACUUCAAAAAACUCUCGUCAUCAAGCACAGACCUUUGUUACACAGCUCAGCACAUCUUAGAAUCCUGUUCAUCAGCUUAUCCAACUGUAAUUUAAAACCAAACUUAUUUGUUCUCCUGCAUCUAUAGGGUCUAAAUUUGACUCUUCUGAAGGUCAGAGGGUAUGAACUGGAGAAUCUGUCCUUUUACCUGAUGUUAAACUAGUGCGAAACAUAACAUCACUCUUAGAAUAUAUAUGUUUCCACAGAUAGAAAAAUAAGAUUUGCUUAAGAAUUGUUAUAAUUAAUUUGGAAAAUUUGCUGUUUUCUGAACCUCUGGGAUUCUGUAUAUGAUACUUUUUUCUAAGAUGGAGGCAACAGUGGCUUUUUCUUUCCCUCUGCUGACUUCUGAUUCACCUAUAUACCUUCCCUCAUAGCAAUUUAAAGCACUGCCAACAAAAGAUGCUUUACCAUGUGUUGAAUCUCUCAAGUUUCUCCGCAGGUGUCUGCUGAAGAUGAAGCAGGUCUUGAACAAAUGUGUCUCGGGGACUGUUGGUUAGCUAAUUUUUCAUCUGAGUUUCCAACUGCACCAGCAACCUGAGUAAGGAAAAAAAGAAGGAUAUUUUUAAGACAAAUUCUCACUGAAGUAGAAUAAGCAAUGCAGGGUUUGCUAUUUGUUUUUUGAGAUAAAUUUAACCACUUACCUUUGCCUGUUGCUUUGUUUUCUCUGUGUAAGUCACCAGCAGUGCAAAAUUUGACUGAAAAUACAGGCAGAGAUCUUUUAAGCACAUUUUCCUUGUACUUCCUAGAAAUUUAUGCUGACUGCUAUUUCUGCCAUAGGGAAUUUCUAAUUUUGAAGCAGUCUUGGGGCAAAAGUGAUUCAUAAUGAGUUGGCAGUGUCUAAUAAACUUAUAAGUAGUCAUGUAUCAUUAUGAGAUAAUAAAGUAAUGAAAUAAUGUGUUUCCAAUGCUGCCAAUAAGAAGCUGCACUAGAAGCCAGGAGGGAGCAUGGCCAGGGCAGGUGAUCUGAACUGGCCGAAGUGGUAUGCCAUUCUAUAGAACAUCAUGCUCAGUACAUAAAGUAGAAGUCCUGAUUGCUGUGCAGGGACAGGCUGGGAAUCAGUUGACAGGUGGUGAGCAGUUGUAUUGUGCAUAAAUUUGGUUUCUUGGAUUUUAAUCCCAUUAUUAUUAUUACUAUUAUUGUUAUUAUUAUUAUUAUUAAUUAUCAUUAUAUUAUGUUCUUAAUUUUUUCUUUUAUUUCAGUUAUUAAUCUGUUCUUAUGUCAAUCCACUGGUUUUAUCUUUUUCUAAUUCUCCUUGCUAUCCAGAGUUAGUUGGUGGUGGGAAGGGAAAUGGGCAAGUGGUUGCAUGGUAAUUAGUUGUCCACUAGGGUUUAACCACUGCACCUACUAAUGCCUCCAGGUGAGGCUCUUUUUCAGUAUUAUUAAAUCAAUAUUUUCUUACAGUGCCCGUUAAACUGGCUAAAGAAUUCCAGCAAAUAACACACAUCAAAGUCCAGGGAACACUUGACAUGAAGAUUUUAAAUGAGAGGUGUUAAAACAUUUACCAUUCUGCCUUGCAAUAUGGUAUCUAUCGGUUUUCCUACAUGCAUCCUGAGAUAUGAGUUUUUUGUUUUACUCUGAAAGCCUUUAGAGGUUUCUUGCUUUGCCAUUUAUUUUAAUGUGUGCAUCUUCCAACAGGGUAGUCAAUUAAUUUGGCUUUUCAGUUCUUUCAUCUCAAAAUUCUGACAGGUCUAGCAGCUUUCAUAGAAGUGAAGGUAUUUGUGGUUUUCUCUCUUUUUUUCACUUAAACAUUUGACAUUUUAUGUGAAUAUUAGCAAUGUAUUGUUGAGUAACCAUCCUGUAUCAAAAAGUCCUAAUUGCCUGUAUUCCAUGAGGUUAUUGACCGUGUUGUUUUCUUCGUGUUGAUAUACUUUCAUCAAAAUCUUGAGUCUUGAAAUAACACGAUCUCACUCUGUCUAGAACAGAAUUUGGUUACAUAGAAAAUUUUUCACUGCUGCUUCUCAAGCAGCAUAAUCUGGACAGUUUGGGUGAUUCAUCUCCAGGGCUUCCUACAGCAUAUGUCACAAAGGCUGAAGUUCAGAUUUGAAAAGAAGCACUUACUUCUCUGACAAGCUAGCAGUAACUUCUCCUAAUGUUGUGCCUUUAAUAAACUGUAUGCAUUAUGUUCCCAUGAGAUUUGCUUUCUUUUUCUGACAAAAUACAAGUGACAUUUCUUGUACAUCUGAAAAUAAGUUACAAAAGGAGAAGUAAACCAGUUUCAAGAAUGCUGUAUCACAAGGCUGUUAGGAAAUCUUUUUUCAGUUGGAGAUAUGCUGUUGUGAACCAACAGUUUCUUUCUUUGAGGUUAAGAAAUUUGAAAGAAAAGAUCACAUCAGCCUAGCUGUUAGAGAAGUGGGAAACGGUAUCAGAUUAAAUUAAUGUGUACAGAGAUAAUAUAGCACACUUCAUUCUAGAUAAAAAUUGAAAAUUAGUGAAAAUAAGUAUGAAUCUGAGGAAUUGUUCAGAAAUAAAUGAACUAUUUAAAACUAAAUAUGUGCAUAAGUGCUUCUGCUAGGCAGGGAAAUAUGUUCUUUUUCGAGUUAUCUAACCAUUGCUUUUCUAAUUCUUCCUUGUCUUCUAAAUGGCUCAGAUUAUGGUUCAGAACAUCCUAAAUUAAUAAUGAUAGCAAAAGAUGUGUCUUACAGAACACUUACAGAUCUAAAGGUAAUGAUUGCAGUGUGCUGUUUCUAGCUUUAAAAUAUUUAGAAUUUAAAUCCCAUAUAAAGAUAAUAAAGGAUGUGUAUAAUUUUGAAGAGUGAUGUAAACUGUAUAAUCAGUAAGAAGAUAUUUGUAAUAAAUUUGUUUAACAACUGACUGAAAAAUAGGUUGAGUUCACUUGUGUGUUACAUUUGUGCUUUUUUGGAUUUGUAGAUGUUGGGAGUAAAAUUCAUUUAUAUGCAGGUGACAGGUUAUAUAUUCCUGUUAUUGAUUUCAUAUUUAUGUCUUGUUGUACAGCUGCUGAUUCUUGUCUCUUUAAUGGCUUUGAUGGAAACAAGGCUCUUUACUGCUGUUACUGUGUGUGACAUACCUCGGAACACAGGAUUGGGAGAAACUGGUGGUUUUACAGUUCCAGUCCUCUUUGAUAGUGUCCGAGAUGAAAUGAAUACACUUCUGAGACUGUCGCCUGGAGACCACGGAAACUGCUACAACAAAGCGAAGACAGAAGUAACAGACAUGCUAACAAGUGCAGAACUGAGAACUUGGAGUAGAAUGUGCCCAGGCAGAAUUAUUCUGAGAGAGACACUGCAAUGUAUAUAAAAUUUUGCACUCGCACAUCUAAACUAGUACAAUAACUAAUUUUGAAAUGCUAUUGACAGCCCAGGUAGAAUAGGGAGUGAAGACUGAGACUGUAGCUGUACAGGCUGUGAAAAGACUGGUGUGAAGAGGAAGAUCAUUAACCAGAGGAUUAAGAAAGCAGUCCAGGUAAACAGUAAGAUAUAGAUGGUCUAAAGAUUAACAUAAGAUUCCUGUAUGGGAAUAUCUGUGGAAAAGGAAGGGCUACUUCAGUGUUCCCUUAAAGAAAGUGGACUGGUGGCCCUGAAGAUGGUGGAGUGAAAGCUGAGGAAUUACUCAGAGGUGCAAAAUGAGGUGUGAAGUUCUGUGAACCUUGAGACUGCUUUGAACUGUUACCAGUAGUUUCUGAAAUUUACAGACAGGGAUAUGUUGUAGAUCCUUGUAUGUUUUUGCAACUCCUUGUGUUUUUCAUGAUGUAAUUUUGAAUGAUUCUGGGACAUUUCAAGUUGGUUUGUGUUAAAAAAAAAAAAAAGAAGGAAAAAAUACUGUAGUGGAAGACUGCAGUUACUGAAAAAACAUGAGUUACUAAGUUUUUUAACACGUGAUUGCAAAGUAUGUAAGUAGAAGAAUAAUCAGUUUGGUUCUCACACUUAAAUUGCAACAGUAGAUUUUUCUCUGGGGAUAUUUUUCCACAUAUCAUAAGACAUAUUUUCCUAAAUGUUUACCUUUCUUUCCAUACCAUUUCUGUCUGCAAACAAUUAGGAGCAAAGCAUGGUACUAGAUAAUGCAAGCUACCUGCACUAACUCGGUAUAGUCCAAGAUGACACUAUAGGUCCCCAUCUUUAUGAGUGUAAAUAAGUUAAGAAGUUUAUGCAGUUUAAAGGAAAUAACAGAUAGAACUGUGGAUAAGACAGGAGAAAGAAAAAAUACAGACUCUAUGUUUGUGAUGUAAAGGUUAAAUGAGAGGAAGAUCUGAGGAUGAUAGUAGAAUUUUAUCAAAUACCAGUAAAAAUUCUAGGUGGCUUUGAUAGCUAUAUAAAUCAUAACAUUGGAAUUCUGUAUGUAAUUCUGAAUGUGAAAGGGUUCAAAAAAGUAAAAAGAGUAAACAUAUGACAUAGAGUGACAUUCUUAAAUCACAUUUCAGCCUAAGAACUGAAAAAAAAUGAAAACAAACCCUGUACAUAGGAGAAUAGAUUUUUUCCUGUCUUACAUACUCUAGGCAUGAUUUCUUACUUUUGAGUUUUCUUUCAUUUGGGAAGCAUUGUACUAAUGGUCAGCUGGAAAAGGCAGAGCAAAAACCUUGAACUGAUAUGACACUGAUCUGUAACUUUGUGGUCAGCUGGGUAAAUAGGGAUUUAGGUCCUAUUUUGAAAAUAUGUAUUUACUUUGUAAAAUAUAAUGGUUUGAGGGGGAAAAAGUCUCACUAUGCUCUAUAAGCUAUAUAUGCAUUUUGGGCACUUUUAAAAGUGAGUGAAAUGGCACUUUUUUACUAAUAAAAAGGUCUCAAAUCGAAUGAGUGCAUGCAAAACAUUAUUUUCUGACACUUAGAAUAAGAUCUUUAGUAUUUUAAUUUACCAUUGAUUUAUCCACAGUCACUAAUCUCAAAAGUCCAGCUGUUAUUUACAGUUUUGGAGCUAUGUCACUAUUUACUUUGAACUUUUUGGUAACCUCUGUGUUGCUAUAUGAAUCUAUAAAGUUAAUUAACAUAGAGACACUAAGAUUUUCAGUUUGUUUUGUUCAAGAAUAUCACUAAGGCAUACUUUAAUUAGAUUAGUUUUAGAUGCAUACAGAGUUGGUAUGGAUUCAGGUACCAUUCAUGGUAAUAGGGGCAAAAUCCUUCCCUCAAAUAAAGAGGUUUUGCAACUUUGUUGACUUUAGUGUUAUAUAAUCAGUGUGGAAACAGAUUAUGCUAGUUCAUUUGGAGUUUUUUCAGGAGGAAUAUAAUAAACAAGAAGUUAUUAAGGAGUACUGACUUCAUAAUUUAAACCUUGGAAUUGUGUUCCUAAGAAUGCAAAUUAUAAACUGGCCAUUAAAUUUACCUAAGACGACUUUUUAUAACCAUUGGAGAUAGCAUUGACAAGGCUUCAGAUUCUGAGGAAUAUAGGGAAAGCAAAUCUCUAGUCAGCUUUCUGGUGAAACCUGAGCACUUUAUGAAUUACAUAUCAUGCAGUUGUUUGGAAUUUUAAAGUAUUGAUUUUCAUGACUUGGGUUUUCUUCUACUUCUAAGCAAGUAAAUUUGCAUUGCAGGGACAAAUUGUCGGCCAUUACUCUAAUUUGCAGAGAUGAUCAAUUACCUAGUCCUUCCAUGUGUACCUUUGACUUCUCUUUCAAAUAAAAUGAAAAAGAUAUCUUUGCAUCUUCAAUUUUUUAAAAAUCCAUUUCUACAUGGGGAGAAAAAAUAUAAAUGUUAUCUCUUAAAUCAGAAUACAUCAUUAGAUCAGAAUAAGACUUGCAAACUCAGAACUUCUACCAGCGGAAAUCAAUGUACAAAAGCCAUGAAGAAGAGAAAUCCUAGGGAUACUAAGAAGUUUACUGAUAAUACUAAACUGGGAGGAGCUGUUGACAUCCUGGAGGGCAGAGAAGCCCUGAAGAGAG
This is a long non-coding RNA of Neopelma chrysocephalum (saffron-crested tyrant-manakin), 8298 nucleotides long. RefSeq lists it as uncharacterized. The transcript is spliced from 7 exons. The record is from RefSeq and is a predicted model, not a curated record. NCBI's taxonomy places the organism in Eukaryota, Metazoa, Chordata, Aves, Passeriformes, Pipridae.